RNAcentral lists this ribosomal RNA (430 nucleotides) under uncultured bacterium. Its description in RNAcentral is "bacterial SSU rRNA". It matches the Rfam family "Bacterial small subunit ribosomal RNA", at positions 82 to 509 of the family's 1533-position model. The record is from RNAcentral.
UGCUCCUUUGAGACCGGCGCACGGGUGCGUAACGCGUAUGCAAUCUACCUUGUACCGGGGAAUAGCCCAUAGAAAUUUGGAUUGANGCCCCAUAGUAUAUAACCUUCGCAUGUUGGUUAUAUUANGGUUCCAACGGUACCAGAUGAGCAUGCGUCCCAUUAGUUAGUUGGAAAGGUAACGGCUUACCAAGACGAUGAUGGGUAGGGGUCCUGAGAGGGAGAUCCCCCACACUGGUACUGAGACACGGACCAGACUCCUACGGGAGGCAACACUGAGGAAUAUUGGUCAAUGGUCNCAAGACUGAACCACCCAUGCCACGAGCGUGAAGACGGUCCUAUGGAUUGUAAACUGCUUUUAUACAGGAAGAAACCCUCCCACGUGUGGGAGCUUGACGGUACUGUACGANNAAGGGAUCUANUAACUCCGUGCC